Molecule: ribosomal RNA, 253 nt
Filed under: uncultured bacterium
Lineage: Bacteria
Description: partial 16S ribosomal RNA
Rfam family: Bacterial small subunit ribosomal RNA
Source: RNAcentral
UACGUAGGUGGCGAGCGUUGUCCGGAUUUACUGGGCGUAAAGAGCGCGCAGGCGGUCGUACAAGUCGCGUGUGAAAGCCCCCGGCUCAACUGGGGAGGGUCACGCGAUACUGUUCGACUCGAAGGCAGGAGAGGGAAGCGGAAUUCCCGGUGUAGUGGUGAAAUGCGUAGAUAUCUGGAGGAACACCGGUGGCGAAGGCGGCAUUCUGGACUGUAACUGACACUGAGGAACGAAAGCCAGGGGAGCAAACGGG